This 574-nucleotide ribosomal RNA is filed under the name uncultured bacterium. RNAcentral describes it as "bacterial SSU rRNA". It matches the Rfam family "Bacterial small subunit ribosomal RNA", at positions 199 to 793 of the family's 1533-position model. The record is from RNAcentral.
UAUCAAAGCUCCGGCGGUACAGGAUGGACCCGCGUCUGAUUAGCUAGUUGGUAAGGUAACGGCUUACCAAGGCGACGAUCAGUAGCCGACCUGAGAGGGUGAUCGGCCACAUUGGAACUGAGACACGGUCCAAACUCCUACGGGAGGCAGCAGUGGGGAAUAUUGCACAAUGGGCGAAAGCCUGAUGCAGCAACGCCGCGUGAGCGAUGAAGGCCUUCGGGUCGUAAAGCUCUGUCCUCAAGGAAGAUAAUGACGGUACUUGAGGAGGAAGCCCCGGCUAACUACGUGCCAGCAGCCGCGGUAAUACGUAGGGGGCUAGCGUUAUCCGGAAUUACUGGGCGUAAAGGGUGCGUAGGUGGUUUCUUAAGUCAGAGGUGAAAGGCUACGGCUCAACCGUACUAAGCCUUUGAAACUGGGAAACUUGAGUGCAGGAGAGGAGAGUGGAAUUCCUAGUGUAGCGGUGAAAUGCGUAGAUAUUAGGAGGAACACCGGUUGCGAAGGCGGCUCUCUGGGACUGUAACUGACACUGAGGCACGAAAGCGUGGGGAGCAAACAUGAUUAGAUACCCUGGUAG